CGCGCAGCACUGUUUACCAGUUUGAUUUGUGAUACGCAUAUCGUGUAGUUCUACGCUCGAUUAUACCGUGGCUUUUAGUGUUCCCAUUAAUGUUGCAAGAAUAUAAAGGAUUUUUUUGUGAGAUUACCAGGAGCUUGCUAUUCGUAAUUGUUGAAUGUGAAACUUUUGCACGGAGAAAAACAAAAGACGGUGGAAACGUACGAGGGGAUAGCGUCUUCCAAAAGAAAUUAGUGAGACAAAAGGAACCAUUCUACUUUCAAACGAUCUCUACCAGAGAAAACAACGACCUGGACUCAGCGUAAUUGCAUUCUUCCCUGGAGACUCGGUGCUGGAAAAUCGAAGCUUGGCCAGUGAGGCGAGAUGAGACUCGAUUGUCUGGUCCAAGGUGCGCGGAUUGGACGACUUUCUCCGAUAGUUCGAACAGUACCGGUACCAGGAAAUCGCCUCAGGAGUGGAAAGGAAACCACCGAGAGGAUACCAUUGGAGGAGCGAGCAGGAGGUGACGAGACCGAAAUCGGCGACGGUGGAACCAUGAAGCUGGCGCGUGACUCUUGAACCGUGCGUGAAAGCUACGAGAUAAGGUUAGUUCUGCUGAACACACCUCUGCUGGAACUUGGGCAGAAGCACGAAACAAAGGAGACGUUUUCGAGGAAGAGCGAGUAGAGCUAAGAGAAGAAGGAUAUUCUUCGAGAGGGAUCUAGAGAUUCGCCUAAGUGCCGCCUCGUUCCGCGAUCAAAUGGCGCGUCGCGAUCAUUCGUCUUCGAUGUAACAGGCUGUCACUGGAAAUUCAGCGUGCUCCACGGAAUCGAUAGAACACCCACACGUGUAUCUUCAUCUUCGCGAAGUGCUUUCUGAAUUUAAAUUUUCUUAUUUAUUGCUCGAUAACGUAAUGAAUGAUAAAAGGUUAGGCAACGUGGGAGUGACGUUACGAUAAGCCAAGUUAUUACUUUAUUCAAUCAUUUGACAGUGAAAUUGAUUAGGUAUAGAGAAUAUAUGAUUUCAGUUAUUUUUAGAGGAAAUGUUAAUAAUUUUAAUAAUUUUAAUUAAUAUUAAUAGUUGCGUUGGAUACAAAGAUAUUUGAAAUAUGAAAUUUGUAGUAAUAUAUUUCACGGUUUGCCUCAGUUUCUUUCAGACUACCCUUUUCAGACUAAGUAAUUAAUGCUGGAACCACUGACCUUUAAUAUGUACAUAAAUAUAU
Molecule: long non-coding RNA, 1198 nt
Organism: Bombus pascuorum
Lineage: Eukaryota; Metazoa; Arthropoda; Insecta; Hymenoptera; Apidae
Exons: 4
Source: RefSeq, a predicted model, not a curated record